AAGGAAUCAUGCUGUAUCCAUAUGUUUAAUAUCAAUGGCUUAUUYCAAGGCGAAACGAGAUAUUUUUCAUCCAUGAUAAUUGAUAUUAACCGUUUUGUUUUCUAGUGAUAUAAACCAUUUUUAUUUACUGUCUGGCGCGACCUUUUUUUUUCUAGUGAUAUAAACCGUUUUUAUUUACUGUCUGGUGCGACCUUUUUUUUUCCAGUGAUAUAAACCGUUUUUAUUCACUGUCUGGUAAGUGUUCAACGCGUUAAAUUGAGAUUUUGUUAUCAACGCGUUCGUAAUCUAACUCCUAGAAGACUGCUCAUCACGCCGCUCUCGCUUACAGCUAGUUUGCGCACCAGAGCAAUUCUCCAUCGUCCCAAAACCCAGUAUCUCAAUCAUUACUCAACGCUUUACGACUUACAACCAUAGACAUAGACCAUUUGCUAAUAGACGGGUCGUAUAAGACCGGUGGUUUGAAUGGUGCGGUGACAACAGAUUUUGUUACAGUGAUGUAUUAUUACAAUAAAUCAAUAUAACAAAACGGUUGAAAUUAAAAAGCAGACCAGUUAUAAUAUCAUUUCAUCAAUAACAAUGCCGAAUAAUAAAUCAAUUACUCAUGAAGAACCUAUACCUGAGAGACUUCAUAGAAACACGAAUUAUAGAAAAAAAAGAAAUUCAACAAUACCAAAAAGUGUCGAGAUGAAUACAGUAGCUGAGGUAACUGAACCAUUGGAUUGUGUGUCAUCUGUCAAUGAUUCUAAAUCACUAAUAAAUUCACCACUAAAUUCUCCAUUAAUUCAGGAAACAUUAGAAACAUGUUAUCUUUGUUCAGCAGUUUCAGAAAUGACCGAUCAAUUUGAUUGUCCCAUAUGUUUUACUAAAGUCCAUAAACACUGCUUAUUAGUCGAUGAGCCUGUAUGGAAAUACAAACUCGAUGAUGGUCCUUGGUUCUGUAAAGAAUGCAGRAAACAAUAUUGUAACAUAUGUCUCAACAAUGAAUCUCAGUCGAAAAUUGAUCGCCGCUGCAUAACUUGUGAUGUUGGUUCACAUACCAAUUGUUAUGAAUCCUAUGAUAUUAAAACAAUGCAAUGCUUACAAAAAGAUAUAUAUGUAUGUACUCCUUGCAUGACUUUGGCUACUCAAAUAAACUCAGAAGAAGAAGAAGAAGAAGAAGAAGAAGAAGAAGCAAAAUAUGAUAAUAUUGAAGAUGAUGUUGAGCCUAAGCCAGACACCUCGUCAAUAGUGUAUGGUUCAUCUAAUAAAAAUGACAAUGAUUCAGAAAGAAGUUGAUCCCAUAGUCAAUCGGACUUUAUAAAUUAUGAUAAAUAUCCUAGUAUUAAUGUCGAAAUAUAUCAAAAUGGACAAAAGCUGAGGAUCUCAAUAGCAGCCCUGUUCUACUGUUACUUACUAGAGCUGAUAUUGUAUCAAACAAAAUGGGUUUGAAACUUGGUCAUACUUUGGAAUUCUACAAAGAAGUUUGAAUCUUACAAACUCAAU
This is an unclassified non-coding RNA of Diuraphis noxia (Russian wheat aphid), 1482 nucleotides long. The record is from RefSeq and is a predicted model, not a curated record. NCBI's taxonomy places the organism in Eukaryota, Metazoa, Arthropoda, Insecta, Hemiptera, Aphididae.